UGGCUCAGGACGAACGCUGGCGGCGUGCUUAACACAUGCAAGUCGAACGAUGAAGCCUUUCGGGGUGGAUUAGUGGCGAACGGGUGAGUAACACGUGGGCAAUCUGCCCUUCACUCUGGGACAAGCCCUGGAAACGGGGUCUAAUACCGGAUAACACUCUGUCCCGCAUGGGACGGGGUUAAAAGCUCCGGCGGUGAAGGAUGAGCCCGCGGCCUAUCAGCUUGUUGGUGGGGUGAUGGCCUACCAAGGCGACGACGGGUAGCCGGCCUGAGAGGGCGACCGGCCACACUGGGACUGAGACACGGCCCAGACUCCUACGGGAGGCAGCAGUGGGGAAUAUUGCACAAUGGGCGAAAGCCUGAUGCAGCGACGCCGCGUGAGGGAUGACGGCCUUCGGGUUGUAAACCUCUUUCAGCAGGGAAGAAGCGA
RNAcentral lists this ribosomal RNA (429 nucleotides) under Streptomyces halstedii. RNAcentral's name for it is "bacterial SSU rRNA". It matches the Rfam family "Bacterial small subunit ribosomal RNA", at positions 20 to 453 of the family's 1533-position model. Lineage: Bacteria; Bacillati; Actinomycetota; Actinomycetes; Kitasatosporales; Streptomycetaceae. The record is from RNAcentral.